GCAGCAGUGGUGCAGUGGUUAGCACUAUCACCUCACGGCCAGAAGGUCGUGGGUUCGAUCCUGGCCAGGGGCC
Non-coding RNA from Gymnothorax javanicus (giant moray), 73 nucleotides. NCBI's taxonomy places the organism in Eukaryota, Metazoa, Chordata, Actinopteri, Anguilliformes, Muraenidae. The record is from the annotation of a GenBank genome assembly.